This 1253-nucleotide ribosomal RNA is filed under the name Brevibacillus brevis. RNAcentral's name for it is "bacterial SSU rRNA". It matches the Rfam family "Bacterial small subunit ribosomal RNA", at positions 62 to 1437 of the family's 1533-position model. The record is from RNAcentral. Lineage: Bacteria; Bacillati; Bacillota; Bacilli; Caryophanales; Paenibacillaceae.
UCGAGCGAGUCUCUUCGGAGGCUAGCGGCGGACGGGUGAGUAACACGUAGGCAACCUGCCUCUCAGACUGGGAUAACAUAGGGAAACUUAUGCUAAUACCGGAUAGGUUUUUGGAUCGCAUGAUCCGAAAAGAAAAGAUGGCUUCGGCUAUCACUGGGAGAUGGGCCUGCGGCGCAUUAGCUAGUUGGUGGGGUAACGGCCUACCAAGGCGACGAUGCGUAGCCGACCUGAGAGGUGACCGGCCACACUGGGACUGAGACACGGCCCAGACUCCUACGGGAGGCAGCAGUAGGGAAUUUUCCACAAUGGACGAAAGCUGAUGGAGCAACGCCGCGUGAACGAUGAAGGCUUCGAUUGAAAGUCUGUGUAGGACGAUAAGACCGUCGAUAGGCGGACCUUGACGGACCUGACGAGAAGCACGCUACUACGGCAGAGCGGUAUACGAGUGCAGGUGCCGAUUAUGGGAAGGGGAGCGGUUGAAGCUGGGUAAGCCGGGUCACCCGUCGUCGAAUGGACUGGGAAAAGAAGGAUCCCGGACGUGAUGGAAUGGAGACACAGGCGAGCGUUUGUCUUGUACUGACGCUGAGCCGAAAGCGUGGGGAGCAACAGGAUUAGAUACCCUGGUAGUCACGCCGUAACGAUGAGUGCUAGUGUUGGAGUUUCAAUACCCUCAGUGCGCAGCUACGCUAUAAGCACUCCGCCUGAGAGUACGCUCGCAAGAGUGAAACUCAAAGGAUUGACGGGGCCCGCACAAGCGGUGGAGCAUGUGGUUAAUCGAAGCAACGCGAAGACCCUUACAGUCUUGACAUCCCGCUGAUCGCUCUGGAGACAGAGCUUCCCUUCGGGCAGCGGUGACAGGUGGUGCAUGGUUGUCGUCAGCUCGUGUCGUGAGAUGUUGGUUAAGUCCCGCAACGAGCGCACCCUUAUCUUUAGUUGCCAGCAUUCAGUUGGCACUCUAGAGAGACUGCCGUCGACAAGACGGAGGAAGGCGGGGAUGACGUCAAAUCAUCAUGCCCCUUAUGACCUGGGCUACACACGUGCUACAAUGGUUGGUACAACGGGAUGCUACCUCGCGAGAGGACGCCAAUCUCUUAAAACCAAUCUCAGUUCGGAUUGUAGGCUGCAACUCGCCUACAUGAAGUCGGAAUCGCUAGUAAUCGCGGAUCAGCAUGCCGCGGUGAAUACGUUCCCGGGCCUUGUACACACCGCCCGUCACACCACGGGAGUUUGCAACACCCGAAGUCGGUGAGGUA